AGAGUUUGAUCCUGGCUCAGAUUGAACGCUGGUGGCAUGCUUAACACAUGCAAGUCGAACGGUAACAGGUCUUCGGAUGCUGACGAGUGGCGGACGGGUGAGUAACGCGUAGGAAUCUGCCAUCUGUGGGGGAUACCAGUUGGAAACGACUGUUAAUACCGCAUAAUAUCUGCGGAUUAAAGGUGGCCUUUGCGCUGCCGCAGAUGGAUGAGCCUGCGUUGGAUUAGCUAGUUGGUGGGGUAAGGGCCUACCAAGGCUACGAUCCAUAGCUGAUUUGAGAGGAUGAUCAGCCACAUUGGGACUGAGACACGGCCCAAACUCCUACGGGAGGCAGCAGUGGGGAAUAUUGGACAAUGGGGGAAACCCUGAUCCAGCAAUGCCAUGUGUGUGAAGAAGGCUCUAGGGUUGUAAAGCACUUUAGUUGGGGAGGAAAGCCUGUGAGUUAAUAGCUUGCAGGAAGGACGUUGCCCAAAGAAUAAGGACCGGCUAACUCCGUGCCAGCAGCCGCGGUAAUACGGGGGGUCCGAGCGUUAAUCGGAAUUACUGGGCGUAAAGGGUCUGUAGGUGGUUUGUUAAGUCAGAUGUGAAAGCCCAGGGCUCAACCUUGGAACUGCAUUUGAUACUGACAAACUAGAGUAUGGUAGAGGAAUAGGGAACUUCUGGUGUAGCGGUGAAAUGCGUAGAGAUCAGAAGGAACACCAAUGGCGAAGGCAACAUUCUGGACCAAUACUGACACUGAGGGACGAAAGCGUGGGGAUCAAACAGGAUUAGAUACCCUGGUAGUCCACGCUGUAAACGAUGAGUACUAGCUGUUGGAUUCGGUGUAAAGGAUCUAGUGGCGCAGCUAACGCGUUAAGUACUCCGCCUGGGGACUACGGCCGCAAGGCUAAAACUCAAAGGAAUUGACGGGGACCCGCACAAGCGGUGGAGCAUGUGGGUUUAAUUCGAUGCAACGCGAAGAACCUUACCUGGUCUUGACAUCCUGCGAACUUUCUAGAGAUAGAUUGGUGCCUUCGGGAACGCAGUGACAGGUGCUGCACGGCUGUCGUCAGCUCGUGUUGUGAAAUGUUGGGUUAAGUCCCGCAACGAGCGCAACCCCUAUUGAUAGUUACCAUCAUUAAGUUGGGUACUCUAUUGAGACUGCCGCUGACAAGGCGGAGGAAGGUGGGGACGACGUCAAGUAUCAUGGCCCUUACGACCAGGGCUACACACGUGCUACAAUGGGUAUUACAGAGGGCUGCGAAGGUGCGAGCUGGAGCGAAACUCAGAAAGGUACUCUUAGUCCGGAUUGCAGUCUGCAACUCGACUGCAUGAAGUCGGAAUCGCUAGUAAUCGCAGGUCAGAAUACUGCGGUGAAUACGUUCCCGGGUCUUGUACACACCGCCCGUCACACCAUGGGAGUGGGUUGCUCCAGAAGUAGAUAGCUUAACGAAUGGGCGUUUACCACGGAGUGAUUCAUAACUGGGGUGAAGUCGUAACAAGGUAGCCGUAGGGGAACCUGCGGCUGGAUCACCU
This 1515-nucleotide ribosomal RNA is filed under the name Francisella orientalis. RNAcentral's name for it is "Francisella noatunensis subsp. orientalis 16S ribosomal RNA". It matches the Rfam family "Bacterial small subunit ribosomal RNA". Lineage: Bacteria; Pseudomonadati; Pseudomonadota; Gammaproteobacteria; Thiotrichales; Francisellaceae. The record is from RNAcentral.